GUAAAGCACUUUCAGUAGGGAGGAAGGUAGUGUAGUUAACACCUGCAUUAUUUGACGUUACCUACAGAAGAAAGCACCGGCUAACUCCGUGCCAGCAGCCGCGGUAAUACGGAGGGUGCGAGCGUUAAUCGGAAUUACUGGGCGUAAAGCGCAUGUAGGCGGCCUGUUAAGUCAGAUGUGAAAGCCCGGGGCUUAACCUCGGAAUUGCAUUUGAAACUGGCAGGCUAGAGUCUUGUAGAGGGGGGUAGGAAUUUCAGGUGUAGCGGUGAAAUGCGUAGAGAUCUGAAGGAAUACCAGUGGCGAAGGCGGCCCCCUGGACAAAGACUGACGCUCAGAUGCGAAAGCGUGGGGAGCAAACAGGAUUAGAUACCCUGGUAG
Molecule: ribosomal RNA, 378 nt
Filed under: uncultured bacterium
Lineage: Bacteria
Description: bacterial SSU rRNA
Rfam family: Bacterial small subunit ribosomal RNA
Source: RNAcentral